UUUUUUUUUUUUUUUGGUCUUUAGAGAGAUUUUUUCACAGAAAAAGAAAAAGAAAAACUUUUCUUUUAAUAGUAUCAUGCUCUUUGAAAGUUUUAAACUUCAAAACACAGCUCCCUCGUUUUUUCAUUUUCUUAUUUAUUGGGUUAAAUCAGGUCAACCCAUUUGGGUGCCUAAUCCUAACUCCAACCGUUAUCAUAAAUAAGUGUUUCAAUUAUUCAUUUAUCAUUAAUUUACUUUUCUAACGAAUGAUAAAACUUCUUUAAACUUUCAAUAACCUGACUAAAAUGGCAUCGGACAACUUACAUUUAAUCUAUAUCAUGGAACGGUUUCGUACAAAAAUUACUUGGCAUUAAUGCUUAAUCACAUUGGAGGGCUAACCUAUUUUGUUUGAUACAUUGGACACACUUCAAUUAUUUAUACAGGCAAAUAAAACAAAAUUGUUCAUAAUUUUAUUCCUACUUGCAAAAAUGAGACAACCAAGUAGCCCUUAAAAUACUAACAAGCAUAAUUUGUAGAUUCUUAAGAAUGUAGGAGGCAUACUGAAUAUUGAAUACAUCUUUCAUAUUUUCAAUCAAUUGACUACCUUGUCUUAUAUCCAUAUCUCACAUUCAUAGGGUGGAUUAGAUUUAGUCCACUGAAAAUGAUGAUCACAAAAGUUUAUUAAAACAAAUGUGAGAUUGUGAUGUGAUUGAUACAAUUAUUUUUAUUAAAAAAAAGGGUCAAUUGUAUGAUUCAAAACAUCCAUACAUAUAUUUAAUUAAUUAAUUAUUAUUAUUUAUAAUUCAUGACCUCGAUUUUCCACUAAAGGAGUGGGUGGAAUUCUUGACAACCACUAAAAUAUGUGGGCAAGUUGUACUUUUUAUAUUUAUUUAUUAUUGUUAUUCAUUUUGUCAAUCCUUGAAUUGAUUAAGUCUAUGUUAUGGGAAAGUGCCAAUUUCUCUCUCCACGUGCAUAGCAUAUGACUAAUUUAUUAAAUUAGUGAAGCUUGAGAUCAACCUGCAGCUGCAUAAGGUAGGGAGAUUACAACUUUUGGUUCGAGGAAAUCAAGGAAACCUUUGAAGGAUUGAUAGAAAAGGGUUUGGUAUUAAUCAUUUGUGUAGCUUCUAUGCUUGAUGCUACUACUCCUAUUCAACCAUUAAUAUAUGGUUUUAAUUUUUUGUACUUAAAAUAGUAUUAAUUUGAGAAUGAAAGCUACUUUAUUGGUAUAAUUUGUAAGGAUUUGCGAUUAAUUUAAACAUAGCCGCUCGUAACCCACCAUAGAACCCUUUUUUAUUUUUUUUUCAAAUUCUUUAUUUGUGAAACUAUUUCAUUGAAAACAAGUUUUAUAAAAUUCAAUAUGGUUUUUGGGAUUUCUCAUCUGAUCGCUCCCGUUAAGCCAAGUUUGAGUAGGUGAUUAUGUUAUUAGAAUUCUUAGGUUUAGGACCGACAAGAGAUCCUCGUGAGUCAAGCUAAAAGCGGUAAGAUGUUAUUUAAAUUGACUUUUGAGAAUUAAAAAUUAUUUUUUAAAUUUAAUAAGAAUUUUUAUGUUUAUUUUGUUAUUUUUAUUUAAAACACUUAGUAGAAACUUAAUUUUAGGUUAUAAAAAAAGCCCUUCUAUAUUUGAUAAAAUCUUUAUAAUACCAAUACCAAAAUUUCAAAAUUAUCUUUUACCUUGUGAUGAAAGCCCAAAAAAAAAAAAGGAGUAAUGCCAUGUGAGGCAUAAGAGGCCUUAGCCCACACCCCACCAUUUACAAAGACAACAAAACCUUGGACCUGGGCCUCGGAGCACAGGCCCAAUGGGAGAAGAAUGGGUGGUCCUCUAUGAAUUUGUACGUUACAAUACUUCAUAUAUGGACUUGAAUGAUGUUCUUAAUUGCUGGAUUUUUUUAAAGAUAAAUGGGAUGGGAUAGUCUCAACAUCAUCAACUUCAAAUCAAUAUUUGUUGAUUCAUUUUCCUUUUUCAGCCUCUUGAAUCCCCAUGCACGUAACGGAUGUUGCUCUCACGAUUUCUCACUAUAUAUACAAACCACAGCAUACAUGCUUCCGCACUCGAUCGACAUGGCUCUGAUGCUGAAGCUCUUUCUUUUCACUCUUCUCUCUGCAUGGAGCCUGGGAUCCAUGGCUUCCGCACGGUACCUGGACAAGAGCUUCAGCCUUGCUGCUCGAUUACAUGCGGACGACGACUCAUCAUCCAAGUGCUGGGAGUCUUUGCUUGAGCUUCAGGCAUGCACUGGAGAGGUUGUCCUGUUCUUCCUCAAUGGUGAGACUCACCUUGGGGCCGGCUGUUGCCAAGCCAUUCAGACCAUUGAGCACCAAUGCUGGCCUGCCAUGCUUACUUCCAUUGGUUUCACUGCCGAGGAGGGCGACAUCCUCCAAGGUUACUGUGAUGCAACCACAUCCUCUUCGGCUCCCCCACCACCACCACCACCACCAUCCAUGGAGCCUAAUGACGUGGUUACCUUGGGUGGCUUUUUCCUCGAUCCUUAGUAGAACGCGUUCUUACUAGCAGUUAUGUCUUUUACAUAUAUCUGAUCCGCUAGUCUAAAUAUAUACAGAAAAGGGUGUUUGGAAUUAAUGAAUGAUUUCCUAUAUAUUGCCCCAUAUUUGUUGCAAUUAAAUUCCAUUUCUUGCUUGAAAAAAAGGUAUAAUAAUUUCCCAUCAUUGAUAGCACUAGUAGUUGUCUUUUAUGGGCUGGACGAGACACACAGAUCGACCCACAAUUCUGCUUACCCAGCCCAUGCUCAGUGGUUUGGACUAACAUAAUUGGAGGCCCAAAAGGGAUAUCAAUAAUAAGAUAAUGUUUGGAAGAUGAGUCUAUUUUUGUAUCUAGAUAAGACCAACUCAUCCCCCUCUAAUUAAUGGAGAGGUAACGGCGUGAAGGGCAAGAUUCUCAAGGACUCAAAAGCCUUUUUGCUUUGAUUUUCCAUCAAGGCAUCAGUGCCAUACACAUAAGUCCAUAAGGUAAUGAAUAAGGAGCGUCAAAUCAGGGUGGGAUGCGAAUAUGCGGAUUGAAAGCCAAGUAUUGAUUUUAGUGGUAUGAGGUGGGUCGUGUAUGGAUGGUGACAUCUAACUAUAAGUCUCUCAAAAGACUUCAAACUUCCCCCCAUCUCCGCCUUCUUUCAUGCUCUUUCCACUCUUCUUUUAACGUAGUAAUUUUUUUUCCCUUUGGGUAAUUAGGAUCUAAGCAUGGAAGAAGAGAAUAUUCGGAUGAGUGUUUCAAGAGUUCUUGGCUUUCUACACAUUGUUACUUCAUUUUCAAGCUGAGGAAUCAAUUGGUCAUUUGUUAUGUGCUUGUUUGUGAUCAUUGGGAAGCAGAUUUAGGGUUUUGAAAGGUCAAAUGCUAAUCAACAGAAGAAGAAAUUUACACCCCAUGCCAACAUAAAGAGAUAAUUGUGGUUAGGAUAGAUUUCAUAUAAUUAACUUCAACUAACUUCUCAUGACCUGCCAUUCCUAGUCAUCAUUCAGUUAGUUAUUUCCUUGCUAUGCCCAUGAUCGAUGCAUCGACCGUUUGCCACUUGUUUUCAUCCAAAAACCUGUCAUUUUCUCUCCGAUCUCGAUCCACUAGAAUGGAUCAAACUGGAUUCUUUCUUCCUCUGGAAUAAUGUAAAGCUAGACUAAAAUUUUAUACAUUCCUCUAUUGGUUGAUGGUUUAUUAAUGGUGAGAUAUCUUGUACAAAUUGAAUCAUCAAGGUCAUUGGAGUGGUGUCCUUGUUGACUAAUUAAUGGGUCCAUGUUUCAUGAUCAUAAGGCCAUCUUGCAUGAUUCAAAUAUACCCUAUUGAAAUGGUAUACAUACACAUGCACAUUGUUCAAAAACGCCCUAGAAAAAGGAAAGGAGGAUAAAAAGAAAUACAAGUCGUCCACUAGUGCCAUAUGUGGAAAAGUAGUGAGCAUACAGAUCUCAACUCCCCUAGAGAAAAUUGUCCUCGUAUGGAACCUCAACAAUGAAUUCUAGAGAAAGCUGUCAAGUGAUCACAGUCCAGAUGAAUCUUGAUUUAGAAGUUAGAAAAAUGAAGGGUUGUUAGGUUAGGGUAGUUAGUCAAUGGCACAAAGAUGUUAUCUUAAAAGUUGUGGAGGAGAGGAGAGGAGAGGAGAGAGUCAGAAAAAAGAAUGAACCUAUCAGAAGAAAGUAAGAAACAUCAAACUAUAAUCUUAUUAACAUGGAACGAUAAUCAUGAUAAAGCCACACAACAAGGGUUUCACAAGGACACACAGAGAGACCCAGGAAACAAGACACAAACUCAUCCAACAUAGCUCAGACAUAGAAAUUAUUUAGCAUAGUUGCUCACUGGCAAUUGUAAAUCUAAUUACACAACAAGCACACAUGCAUGCGUCUAGAAAAGAUGGUGAUGCUUCUUUCCAUGAGCCUCUUCAUCUUCUUCCUUGGCUUCUUUCUUCUCGUGAUGCUCGUGGAACGCGAACCCGCCAGCUCCCACUGCAGCAGCCGCGGCAAUCUCUUCUUCUAUCUUGUGCUUGUGGGCAUGCUCAGGGUCUUUCUCCGACUUGUGCUUCUCAUGCUAUAAUUCAAGCAUCAUCAAGACGAUAAGAAAUAGUUCCUUUGUAUAAAAUUAAUUAAAACAAAAAUAUUUUCAAACUUCAUGACACACGGGGCAUUACCAAGGCGUAAGCGCCAGCAGCAGCGACGCCGAGCUCGCCGAGGUGCUCGAGAUGCUUGUGGUGCUUCUCCUCCUUCCUGUAGUCAGGGCCUGGGUCAUCUGCUAACACUUCGGUGGUUUCGGCAGCGUAGCCGCUGACACCAUCGGUAGCAUAGCUGGUGUCGGAGUAGGUGGUGUCGGAGUAGGGAACGGCGUCGUCAACAGGCUUGUCCUUGUGGUGGAAGAGGUGGUGGUGAUGCUUCUCCUCCGACAUGGUGGUGGUGAUCAAAUUAGCUGCAGAAACGAGAGAGGAAGAUGGUUUGUGAACUGUGAAGGUGUGAUGUGGGAGAGUGCAGUGGUGGGUGGUGGGGUAUUUAUAAAUGCUGGUUGCGAAG
This 4968-nucleotide long non-coding RNA is filed under the name Vitis vinifera (wine grape). Its description in RNAcentral is "long non-coding RNA (VVIN_LNC006177)". The record is from RNAcentral. Lineage: Eukaryota; Viridiplantae; Streptophyta; Magnoliopsida; Vitales; Vitaceae.